Molecule: long non-coding RNA, 2807 nt
Filed under: Gossypium barbadense (sea-island cotton)
Lineage: Eukaryota; Viridiplantae; Streptophyta; Magnoliopsida; Malvales; Malvaceae
Description: long non-coding RNA (GBAR_LNC020877)
Source: RNAcentral
AAUCAUGAGUUCACCAAGUAAAGGUGUCUGCCAGCGCAGGUCAGUCGCCAGUCUUAGGGAUCGCAGGGUAGGUGUUUGGUAUGCUCGCCAGUGGGUUUGUGGGACAAAUUGUCAGCUAGGUUCGUGGGUAGGUCGCGAGCUGUGCUCACCAAGUUGUAGCGAAAUAUUAGGUUUUCAAUGGGGGGUUUGCAAGUAGCUAAAACCUAAAUUAUUCUGCUUCAUUUUUUAUGAUGUGUUUAGAAAAACAUGCAAAUAGGUUUAUUUUUAAUGUGAUUUAUUUUGCAUAUGUGUGAUGUGCAUGGUUGAUUAAUCUGUUUUUGGUGUUUUAAUGGUAAGUCAUUUUAGUGGCUAAUGUGAUAUUCGAAAUUCAGGUUAGACUAUCCUGGUGAGGUUUAGGGCGCCACAGAGGUAGUCAAGGCAGAGCACCACCGGAAACGAGAUUUUCUCUCGGCAAGAAUCAAAUGGGUCAAAGUUUAAUUCACUUGCCAAAAUUGGUGAAAGGGAGGAGGAGAAUGGGGGUGAGAUUUUGGGUCCCUUCAUGUUUGGUAAACAAACGGAGCAGGUUUCAGCAUCCAAGGCGGAAGUUUCGAGGAAAAUGAAUGGAGGAAAAUCUAGUGCAGUAGUGACAGAAAAUGGGUCAAUUGGUUUUAAAGUAAGGGAAAGGGUGUUAGGAAAAGCGCAAUGUUUUUCAAAACAAGGAUUCAUAAGCAGACAAAAUAUGGGCUUGGAGAAACUAGGAUAGGCUGUCACACUGCAGGCUAACAAAAGGGUCAGAUACGUUGGGUUCAGGGGAAUCAAAAGUUCUUAAAUAGAAACAAGCAUACUGUGGUGAACCUAAAGGAGAACAAAAACCCAAACAUUUUUUCUGAAAAUACAGGAAACCAGAAUAACAACCUGGAUUUCAAAAAUCUUAUUCCACCCUCUAUUAUCCCAUUUUCAUUGAAAAAAAAGUAAUAACCAAAUAUGCCUUGAAAAUCAGCUUAGGUGAAGGAGCGAUUUUAUCUGUCGAACAAGAAUUUUCAAUUACUAUUCAGCAAGUUGUUUAGGGCAUUGUGAAGCGAAUGGAGGCAGAGGGUCAAAAUAAUGUCUGAUUGGUGGAAAAUCAAGUGGUACUGGUGUUGACCGGUUGGGAAAUGGGUAGCAUUCAGAUGAAAUGAUGGAUUUGGGCCAAAGUGAUGAAAGGGGUACGGUUGGUAUGGAUGAUUCCAUAUAGGAUCGGGUAUGUGCUUCAUAAAUCAGUUUUGUUGAUGCUUUUUUUAUGAAUUCAAGGAUUAUGGUAUGGAACUGUCAGGGUACGGGGCACCCUAACUUUCAUAGGAUUAUUAAGGAGUUUUUGAGAGAGAAUGACCUAGAGAUUGUGGUUCUUGUUGAAAUUAGGGUUAGUGGUUAUAAGGCGGAUAGGGUUAUCAAACAAAAUGGAAUGUCAUUUUCGCAUAGUGUAACAAUCCGUUUUCAGUAGUAUUAGAAAUAGUAGUUUCGGGACCACAAUUUCGGUGAGUGAAUUAUUAUUUAUUAUUUAUUUAAUGUCUACGAGAUUAUAUUAAGGUCGUGUUAAAGUUUUAUUGAGAAAUUUUGAUGUUUAAAUGGUUAAUUCGGUAAAAAUGACUAACUUGUAAAAUGUGAAAAAGUUGAGUUCUAUUAGUUAAAAAGGUCAAAUGGCUAUGAAAUGUCAAAAUAAUGGACUAAGAUAGUAAUUAUACCAUUUAAUGAGUUAGUGGGCAGUUAUGGACAAUGUUUUAUUGAAAAUUUUGAUUAGUAAUAAAGGUAAAAUGGUAAAUAAAAUUAAAAUCAAAUAGGCUAAAAUAUCAUCUUCCUCAUAUUUGUUUCUUUAUAACUGAUUCAUCCAUGGAAGAAUAGCAAGGGUUUUGCUAAGCAUUGUUUUCACUUGCAUGGUAUGUAUUUAAGCCCCGAUUUUAGUGAUUUUUAUGUUUUUGAGUUCAUUUUAGCUUAGUCUAGCUAGCACCGGGUUAAUUUGCAAAAUUUUUAAAAGUUGAAGAACUUGCCAUGGAUGUUUUUUAAUGUGUUUUGAUGUUAGUUGAUAAAUUAUUAACUUUGGUUGUUAAAUAAACAUGUUUUGUUAAGUGAUUUUUUAUGAAAUUGCGUUUAGGGAUUUAUCUGUGAAAAUAGUAAAAUUUCAUGUUAAAAUUAUGAAAUGUUGGUUUAAGUGAGUUGUUAUAAGUCCCUAUGAAAUUUGGCAAGCUGGUGUUCUUCUUCUUACAUCUCUUUUAUCAUCCCUUGUCAUUGCCAGUUACAUCUCGGUAACUAUUGCUUGUACGUUCUUUCAAUGAUGUAGAUUCAUUCUUUCAGUUUUCACAGGGGUAAGUAGUCUAUUUGAGUGGGUAAGUUGGGAUUGGUCUAAUUGUCUUUGUGUUUCUGUUAGGUGAAGAGCGAGUGUCGCAUAACUCUCAUCUAACGAAUUGAGUAUUUAGGUGAACUUGACAUUAAGGGUAAGGACUGUAUGCCUUAGGGACUAAUGUUGUUUCCUUUGACCGAAUACUCUAAAUCGAGUAGGGGCGAAAUGAGUGAUUUGAUUUUGGUGUAUUGUUGCUAAUUGGCUUUGUUUUGGAUGUCGUAUGUAGGAAUUUGAAGUGUGAUGUAGUGUCACUAUUCAGAAAAUCAUCAGGUGUGUGACUCAAACUCGAGAAAACUCUAUGAAACUACAUGAAACUAAAAUUGGCAGUCGGAGCCACACGAGUGUGUGUUUGGCCGUGUAAGCCACAAGGGCGUUUGUCUGGCUGUGUGAGCCACACGAGUGUGUGCUUAGUCGUGUGCCUAGCCAUGUAGGCCACACGGGUUGGACAAGUAAG